CCUACGGGAGGGCAGCAGUGAGGAAUAUUGGUCAAUGGACGAGAGUCUGAACCAGCCAAGUAGCGUGAAGGAUGACUGCCCUAUGGGUUGUAAACUUCUUUUAUAAAGGAAUAAAACGAGGCACGUGUGCCUUUUUGCAUGUACUUUAUGAAUAAGGAUCGGCUAACUCCGUGCCAGCAGCCGCGGUAAUACGGAGGAUCCGAGCGUUAUCCGGAUUUAGUGGGUUUAAAGGGAGCGUAGAUGGGUUGUUAAGUCAGUUGUGAAAGUUUGCGGCUCAACCGUAAAAUUGCAAUUGAUACUGGCAGUCUUGAGUACAGUUGAGGUAGGCGGAAUUCGUGGUGUAGCAGUGAAAUGCUUAGAUAUCACGAAGAACCCCGAUUGCGAAGGCAGCUUACUAAACUGUGACUGACAUUGAUGCUCGAAAGUGUGGGUAUCAAACAGGAUUAGAUACCCCUGUAGUC
This 461-nucleotide ribosomal RNA is filed under the name uncultured bacterium. Its description in RNAcentral is "partial 16S ribosomal RNA". It matches the Rfam family "Bacterial small subunit ribosomal RNA", at positions 338 to 795 of the family's 1533-position model. The record is from RNAcentral.